Long non-coding RNA from Hibiscus syriacus, 224 nucleotides. RefSeq lists it as uncharacterized. The transcript is spliced from 2 exons. Lineage: Eukaryota; Viridiplantae; Streptophyta; Magnoliopsida; Malvales; Malvaceae. The record is from RefSeq and is a predicted model, not a curated record.
AAUUUAUGGAUUCACUUUGUUAUCGUUUUUUUUAGAAAAAGCUAAACAACUAAUCACGAUCUUCUACACUUGUCUGGACCAUCAAUGAUAGCAUUAUGCGGGAUAGAGGAACAGAAGCAGAAGUAUUUACCUUCUUUGGCCUAGUUAAAAACUGUAGCUUGUUGGGCUUUGACUGAGCCUGACUAUGGAAGUGAUGUGAGUUCUCUGAAGACAACUGCAACAAA